Meriones unguiculatus (Mongolian gerbil) is the source of this 307-nucleotide long non-coding RNA. RefSeq lists it as uncharacterized. The record is from RefSeq and is a predicted model, not a curated record. The transcript is spliced from 3 exons. NCBI's taxonomy places the organism in Eukaryota, Metazoa, Chordata, Mammalia, Rodentia, Muridae.
AGGGAUCAUAAUGGCAUCUACCCCACAGGACUACCCGGAGAACAGAUGGGCAGCUCCAACCUCCAGGUCCUGCCCCGAGUUCCCUUCAUGCUGGACCAUGUUUGUAAUGUGUACAUGAAAACAAAAUGAAGUUUAAGACAGACAAGGAGAGACAGCCUAUGGGUAAAUCACCUGCAACCAAGCCUGCAAACCUGAUCCCUGGCCUGGACGAUGUGGAAGGAGAGGACCAGCCUCCACAGACUGUGCUCUGACCUCUGCAUGGCUGCCAUGCUGGGCCCAGUCAUGCACGCGUGCGCGCACGCACGGA